GCUAGCUCCUUCCUCAGGUGCGGUGGUGUGGGGCCAGGAUUAUUUCUGUCCUGGCUGGGGGCAGGCUCUGAGCCGGGUCCCUCGGCCACAAAGCAGGCAGGGAAGGGGUUUCUGAGGCACGGCAGGAAUGGAAAUGUCCCCACAACCCUUGGAGCUGGCCCAGAGAGAUGUGGUUUGUGAGUGAGAGCAGCCAAGGGAACACCUGCAGAGGGUCCUGGUCCCGGUGUGUAAAAGCAGCCCUGGGAAUGGGAGGGAAGGAAGAGGAGACAUCGCACAUCCCUGCCCAGGACUCGGGGUCUGGCCCAGCUUGUCCCCAACUGGCCUCCCCAAAUUGAGCACAGGCAGCCCCAGGAGCUGGAAAUGACAGGCAGGCUGACCUCCUAAUGGACCCGACUGACAGAGAAUCCAUUUCCUGAGAGCAGUACCUCCUUCGCGCUGCGCAGGUUCCUAUCACGCUUCCUAAUUACUGUAAUUAAGCAGUCAUGCUGAGUGAUGUUAGACAGAGGGUUCGGAGUCGUUGCAGGUCUGCAGAAGAUUAAACCAGUCCUGGCUUCAGUGCCUGAGCUCUCCUCGGUGAUGGCGAUGAUGAAGAUGGGAGCUGCUGAUGAUGGGAGCUGGAGACAGAGCUUCAUGGCACGGGGUCAUGGCAUUUGUCACGGCUCGGGGGUCUGCCCUUGUCACUUGUGGCAGGAGGGGACACAGCCCUGGUGCCCUGCCCAUGCUCUGCAUCCCUGCAUCUCCUGCAGACAGACAACUGCCCUGCCUGGUGGUUUUGAAGCUCUGGAAGGGGCAGGUCGUUGUGUGCAGCACAGAGAUGCUCAUAGCCUGCGAGUCUAUUUUGUCAGUUUGUCAAGCAGAAGAACAAAAAUGCAGCUGGAUUUGUGCAAGGGAAGGGUCCUGCGAAGCAGAGGGGAGUCCAGCUCCACAUUAUUCACUCGGUACCCACCAUUUAUCUUCUGGCUCCCUUGAGCUAGGGGGUCUGGGGUUGGUCUAUAACCACCUACGUCAAUACCAUGGUGAUCAUGGAGCUGGAAUCCAUUUCUCUAUGGUUUUAUACUGCAGCCUGAUCAGUUUAGCGGUGGCCUUCCCCGAGGCGCUUGCUGACAAUAGCAGAGGACUGGAGACAGCCGUUUAGUCCCACAGCUGCAUCCCACCCUCCUCAGCCUCUUUUUCCCCUAAAGGGCACCCGGGGUUUUGCAGAUGUCCUUCUAUUCACACGGACAGUGAGACAUGCUGAACAAGAGUCCGUGGCUCAGUUCGUAUACAAUUGGCAUCUAAUUCAUUUCUCUGUGAAUGUGAAAAUCAAUACUGUGUGCAGAAUGCACAAAGACUCUCCUAUCGGUCAGUGUCCCUUUUAGAUUCAUUCCUGGCUGCCAGGAGAUCCUUGCAGGAGGUGGCUCUGGGAGCUGAAGAAGAAAAACGAUGGUCCUGUUUCUCUAAUGAACCCUGAGAAGACUCUAAGCUUCUGCCCCCAGUAGAUGGGAAGCGUUUCUUGGUAAUCAGCUGUAUGAGAUGGACUGGAUUUCCUUGGAAUUUUGCCUGGCUAGUCAAAUUCUGGGCCUUGGUUUUGCUCCAGUUAAGGUCAAAGUGCCUCCUUCCACAUCCAGGAACACGCAUCCCUUCAGCAGAUGUUAAAUGACUUCAGCUCUGUUUGUGCUAGCGGAUUUUGUGGGCGAAACCAUAGAAGCCAAGUUUCAUCUGUCCCAGAGCAUCAGAGCUCCGCAGCUCCCUGCAGCUCCCCGUGCCUCUCGUUGGAUCUCUAGCAAACAUCUCCAAAAAACCUCUCAGCCUCCACCUCCCACUCCCUCCGCCCGUGCCAGGAACAGCUCCAGCCCUGCAGGUCGGCGCAUCCAGCGAUAUCUGUUUUUCCACCUGGAGACCUUCCAGGGCUUUGCACAGCUGCUGACAGCUUUCCCCUUCCUCCCUGCUCAUCCUUUCGGUGAGCCACGGGCUCAGCCCUCAGCUUCCAGAGCUCCUCUCGUGCUGCAGUUUCGGGGCACCACUUGCAGCCAGCAACUUUUCGCAGGGCAGGACCCCCAGGCUGAAGGCUCCAAUUUGCAGCUGCUCCUUUUGCAGCCUCCGCUUCCCAAAGCCUGCGGCACGGUUACUCACAGCCCAUCCCUGCCUAUCGAUGAUCAACCAGCUGGAGUGUGAUUGCUCGUUAUGUCUCAGGGUGUGCUGAUAAAUGGCACUGGUAGGCUGGCCAUUUUCCAGUCGUCGGGCCCUCGGCACCAGAAAUCCUUUAUUUUAUUUUUCCCUAAUAACAAUAAUAAUAAUAAUGAUAAUAACAAUAAUAAAGCAGCCCUAGACUUUAACAUUAAUGUUAGUUUUACCUUUCCCUUUCUUUCCUCUGCAGUCGAAAUAGAUGGGUGUUGCUAGAGCAAAUACCUGCCACGCUUUUUCCCACUGUUUCUCUUCUGUGUGGUUUUUACCCCAUGGUUUGAGCUGAUGCAGAACACAUUCCUCUGGACUGAAAAUUCUUUUUUUUUUUUUUUUUAAUGCAGUCACAGAACUCCACAGAAAUUUUUAGACUUUUUUUUUUUUUUUUUCUGAGCACUGAACUCUUCUCUUCCUAUUCAGUCUGCUAAUUAUCCUUUUUAGCUUGCUUUUGCUCUGUUUUCACAGAUCUCUUGGUUUAUUUAUAUCUACCUAUCUAUAAUGAUU
Molecule: long non-coding RNA, 2664 nt
Organism: Anas platyrhynchos (mallard)
Lineage: Eukaryota; Metazoa; Chordata; Aves; Anseriformes; Anatidae
Source: RefSeq, a predicted model, not a curated record